GAGAGGAAAUCGCUGACAGGCUCGUUGAAACCUUGUUAGGUGACAAGCAGGUAGAUGAAACUCAAGAGAAAAGGUGUGGAUAAAUGAAACUAGCCCAUGAUGAACCUGUUUUCUCCGUGACCACAAUAUUAACCAGGAUGAUGGCGACUGAGUUAUUUGUUCGGCUAGGCGUUGUAGAAAUUGGAAACCAAAAUGAAGAGGAACUUUAGGAGUUUGCAGUCUAGUGGAAGACAUCCAAUUUUGGUGGCAGUGGGCCUGCAUCACAGGUUGCAGCAGAUGUUCUCAAUAUUUCUAUUAAAAUUUCCUUAUUUCCAUAUGCAAGAGGAGCCCCAGAGCUGCAUCCUUAUGGUAGCUACCAUGCCGUGAUGUAAGCUGCCAUUCACUGGGGAGCUUUGGCAAUAGAAUUGGCUAGAUCAGCAAGCCCAUGUCAACUAUGGAACAACAACUUGCAGCUCAUCUCUAUUGAUGGACUGAUAACAAUGAUAUUGGAAGAAUAGAUACUAAGUCUUGGAGAGGUGAAACAGUCGCAAAUGGAAUUUCAAGAAACAUUCUAUGUAAGUCCUGGCUUUGAAAUACUUUGUCAUCCUAAGAAGCUUGGACUUUAUCCUGUCAAAGAAAUGACAAAUCAGAUCAUUCCAGCUGCAGUAUGGAGAAUAGAGUGAAGUGGGGUAACACUGGUUUAGUGGCACAAAUUAAGCAUCUACGUAAGAGAGGAUACUGACCUGAACUAGGGUUAAAGUAGUGGGGAUGGAGAUAAAUAGAUAGUUUGAGAGAAAUUAAGAGGAUAGAAUGACUAGGACUUAGCAGUUGACUGGAUAUGGUGGGCCUGGUGAAUGAGAGGCAGGAGUCAAGAUUGAUGGUCAGGUUUCUGACUUGGGCCGUGGGUACAUAGUGAUGCUUGUACUAAGAUUGAGAAAGUAAAAGGGAAAGUAAAUAUCAAGCAGUUUCAAGCAGCAGUCAGCUGCUGGGCUGGCUCACCACACUUCUGUAGAUUCCGUUGAAAAGGAGACAAUGAGCCUAGAUAGAUUUAGACAGUUUAUUACUCAAAGCAAAGUAGGCAGCAUGAUCUUCAUGCAUCUAUGAAUUCCCCAAAUCCCAUGAUACAGAGUGAGGCCCAGACAGAUGCUGUGUACACGGUGGACCUGUGUCCUCCCAAUCUUAUAAGAGGCUACUUGCAAACUUGCCCAAAAUCAUUGUCCUGGAGGUUGACAUUAUCUUUGUUAUGCUGGUCAGGAAACAAAUGUACCCUCUAACCCGGAAGCAUAUCCUGUCUUUACUCAAAGACAAAUAAAAACACCAUGGACAAUUACCUU
This 1313-nucleotide long non-coding RNA is filed under the name Pan troglodytes (chimpanzee). RNAcentral's name for it is "long non-coding RNA NONPTRT013475". Lineage: Eukaryota; Metazoa; Chordata; Mammalia; Primates; Hominidae. The record is from RNAcentral.